UGCUGACUGGACGACCACGAUGUUUUUUCCUCCAAAGUAUUUCAAAUUUUACAGCCAUUUCAGACCUGAAAAUCCACUGAAAAUAGAUCAAGAGUGAGGUGAGAUGUACACCAAGAACAAUGAUCCACUGAGAUGUGUCAGACGUAAACCAGGGAAUUCUCAAUUAAUCCACCUUAACAUGAAGUGAAGAACAACAGUUUUUGUUUGAAGGAAUGAUGUGUCGGCAUCAGCAAGAAGAGCCUUCUGCCAAGUGGAGUCCAAAGCCUACCUCAAAAGUAAUCUACAAAAGAUCCAGUGAAGCUGAAAUGACAUCCUUCAAUUAACUAACUGGAGAGCUGCAGACAUGUUUAUCAACAUUGAGAUGAUCUAAUGAAGCUGAAAGGACAGUCACCAAUCAACUAACUGGGCAGCUGUGCAACGACAUCUCCCUUCAGAUGAUCAACUAAUCCAGACAGAGAGUGUCGGAUCUCCAUUCAAAUCCCAGUCCAUCACCAGUGGAGAUGCAGUGCUGGUCAACAGUAAUUUAGUGUUUGUAGCUUUGAAUUUAUAACUACUUGUAUCUGGGAUGGAUCUGAAGGUUUAAUAUAAUAUCACCAAGAUAAUGACGGCUUUUCUUGAAAGAGCAUCAUUGUCUGCAAGAUUGAAAUGUGCACAUCCUUAAUGUGGUGAAUCAUUCAUACUUUCCUUGUGUGGUGAUCUACCUAUAUUUACCCAU
Molecule: long non-coding RNA, 715 nt
Organism: Asterias rubens (European starfish)
Lineage: Eukaryota; Metazoa; Echinodermata; Asteroidea; Forcipulatida; Asteriidae
Exons: 6
Source: RefSeq, a predicted model, not a curated record